AGUGAACGCUGGCGGUAGGCCUAACACAUGCAAGUCGAACGGCAGCACAGGAGAGCUUGCUCUCUGGGUGGCGAGUGGCGGACGGGUGAGGAAUACAUCGGAAUCUACUUUUUCGUGGGGGAUAACGAAGGGAAACUUACGCUAAUACCACAUACGACCUACGGGUGAAAGCAGGGGACCUUCGGGCCUUGCGCGAUUGAAUGAGCCGAUGUCGGAUUAGCUAGUUGGCGGGGUAAAGGCCCACCAAGGCGACGAUCCGUAGCUGGUCUGAGAGGAUGAUCAUCCACACUGUAACUGAGACACGGUCCAGACUCCGACGGGAGGCAGCAGUGGGGAAUAUUGGACAAUGGGCGCAAGCCUGAUCCAGCCAUACCGCGUUGGUGAAGAAGGCCUUCGGGUUGUCAAGCCCUUUUGUUGGGAAAGAAAUCCAGCUGGCUAAUACCCGGUUGGGAUGACGGUACCCAAAGAAUAAGCACCGGCUAACUUCGUGCCAGCCGCCGCAGUAA
Molecule: ribosomal RNA, 506 nt
Filed under: uncultured bacterium
Lineage: Bacteria
Description: partial 16S ribosomal RNA
Rfam family: Bacterial small subunit ribosomal RNA
Source: RNAcentral